GCUCAUUUAAUUCAUUUCUGCACUUGGAAGCCUCUCCCUUUUCGAACGCCAAUUAGGCGGCAGCUGCUGGGGACUUUUUUCCUCUCCUUAUCCCAAGACGGCCGUCUGAUUUUCUGCGCCUGUUGACUUAAGCUCUUACAGGAGGCUGGGUGGGGCGGGCGUGGUAGGACCGCGGCCGCUCUGAAGUGGGCUGGCCGAGUUUUGCUGACUUUCCGCGAGAGCCUGUGGGUGGGAGCGGGUGAGGUUCCACAGAGGACCCAGCCCUCGUCUGUUUCUUCCAGGACGCUGGGGUUUGGGAUUUCAGAGUCUGGUUUUUCUUUGUUUCUGGAGAGUCCAUUCCAGCAUCUGGAACAAGAAUAAGAAGGAAAGAUUCGAAGCAAUAUCCCAGUACUCUUUAGAUUCUAUCAACUGUGAGACACUGGAUUUUCAAAGACGGCUGACUGCCUUUCAUGCCUCUGAACUCUGCCCUUCCUUGGCAUGAUGGAGAAGGAAAAUGAACUCAAGACCCACCUAGUACAGCAUCUUAAAUCUAAUUAGGUACCCAAACAAGUGAAUUAUUUGAACUCAACGCAUCGCAAGUUGCAAAAGUGGGCCAAGUCUCUUGGCUCCUAGGACUACAGCUUUGCCUCCUUCAGGAGCUAGAGAGCUGAUGCUCAGGAGAACUGCAGGUAUGCGCCAGGCCCCGGGAGGAAGCACACCCUCCUGUGUAAUGCGAAGGCCACGGCCCAGUCUUCAUUCUCCCCGGGUCUCAGGUGCCGGCCCAUUUGCAGAAGACCAGGGAGCAGGGAGCAGCGCUGUAUUUGAGAUCCUGAAGGACACCUCGUGGUGCCACUGGAGUCGGAGACGCAAAAGGAAAAGAUGAGGGUAAGUCGGACUCUGUCAGUUUCCUGGCAGUCCAGCCAUCUCCAGGCUCAAAGGUCUCCCGCGUACACAGGUGCAAAUGAAAUGAUAUUCGAGAGUAAGAAUGGGGACAAGCAAGCUUCCAGGCUUGGAGAGGGAACAUGAACCCACUGACCAGUGAAAUGAUCCCCAGAUCAUUCCAGAAUCCCAGUUUGCCUGCAAGCGGGGACAGCAUGCCCUCCAAGAGACUAACAGAUAAAUGUAGCUCCAGUGCCUAUGAACUUCUGUCAGUCAUGGCAAAACACGGAUCUGCUAAAAGAGUCUGGGAAAGAAGAAUCUGAAGAUGCUGAAUGAGUAAACAAAAUAAGGGGCAAGGCAGUUUCCCUCCUGUGAACAUCUUGAGCAGUCAGACAGCUCUCCGAGAUGGUGUAGAUGAAUCUCCCCGUCACUACUCCAUGCUGAAUUGGCCAUGGCUUGAACAUGGGUAGGUUAUGGGAAAACUUGGAGUCUGGCUCUCUGCUGAAAUCAAACUUUUCCUCCUCCCUGAUUUUCACCAUAGUCACUCUUCUGGAAAUUACUUGCACGUGGUUGAUAGAGUAUCAGUCUGGGGCUAAGAAAAUGGCAGCCAGGACCCAUUUGGUCAUAUGAUGAGCAGUAACAGGAAAAAACAGGGAAGAGAUAAAACCUAAAACUGGGUGGGCCUUUGCCAAGGGGAGGAUGUCUAGAGCUCUUCUGCUUUUUCAACAAAAUUACAAAAUUAUGCACUUUGACUCGCGUGGCUAAGCAGAUGUUCUCUUUGCUGCAAAUCUAUUAGCUCCUUGCUUACUCUGCCGAGUGGAUGGCGCAAGAAAAGAUGAGCUGCAGAGAAGGAGCCGGCAGUGGCAGGAAAGGACACGGGGCGUGAGAGAUUAGGAGCUGAGGGACAGCGACCCUGAAUUGAGACGAAAGGGGCUUCUGAAGGAGCAAGUCUGCAGCAUGUUUAGUUAACGUCUUUCCAACAAAGGAGAAAUUUUGUGCAGCCACAGAUCAUUUGCAAUUCAAAGAGCGAGAGGCAAACCGAGUUGAGAACAUACUUUGUGUGGAAAGGCAUUCAUAGUAUCCAUGCCCCAAAUACCUCCCACCCAAGGGAAGUCGUCCGGUACAUUUGAGAGCUUUUCGCUGACUUGGGGCCCUCAGUGCCGCCAUUUUCCCUCUUUCUCCCUCUCUCCCUUUCCUCUUCCCCCUUCCAUACUGGUUGCCUGUCUGUCACUUCAAUUCAGUCCAGCCAUCUGGAACCUUCCCUACUAGAUAAUAUCUCCACCUCAAAUUAAAAAAUGGCCCUUUCCUACUUGAUCAGAGCCCUGGUAUCUGGAUGGUUGAGGAAGAUUGCCGAAUGGCAAUGUGAGGUGGAGAUUUCCUGGGGAUUUCAAUCACCUUGCUCCCCCUCUACCCUUCAUGAUAAAGGCUAAUCAGGAGGGGAAUGAAAACAACACGCAAUCUUACGAGAAAUGAGGAAUGGGCCAGAUGCAACCCACAGAGGCUGGCUGAGAUUUCAAUUUUCUUACUGUAAUGAAAACUGCAUUUCCAUGAACCGUUGCGGUAGAAAUUACUUACCGGCGGUCACCUGUGAUAGCAUCACCCCACGGCUCACGUGGUGGGCACGGAUGCCGCCAGGGACGGUUGCUGAAGCGCCUUCUCGUGAUCACCUUCCGCGCGGUCCUCAGGGUGCCGCAGAUGGGCGGAGGCGGCGCUUCCGUGUGGGAAACGAGGCCCGAUCCAGAAUAUGAUGGAUGGUCAUCGCUGUGCUCUUCACAUGUUGUGAGAAUUCUGGGUCAUUUUCUCAAGUUUGGAAUUGUGGAUGUGGCCGUGGCUGUUUCCAGACAGAAAACAGUGGAAUCCUGGAAAGAGUCAAACAAUCAACUGUGAUUUUGUACUUCGAUCCAGAUGAAUUAAGCAAGCAGAUCCUUUGGGUUUUACACAUCUAUGAAAUAUCAGGCCCUCGUGUUCUCCUUUUGGGGUGUUCUUCCUUGAAAAGAAUGCGCUUUCACUAUUUAAAUCAUAUCAGUAAAUAGUCAUAUUGUGUCUUAUGGUUUUUUGGUCCUUCUGUCUUAAAAAGAAUGAUUUCAAGAAUGAAGUUUCACAUGCUGAUUUGAAUAGUUUAAUUUUUGUUGGAAUAAUUAGUUCCCUUCCUUCUCAUCUUUUUCUGAACCCACUGGAAAAAAAAAAAAGACAAAGGAGAGAGGCAGAGAGACACCAAAAUAACAUCUUUCCUAUCGAUAAAGCUGACAUUGGAGAAAGUGGAAUGUAUCUGUGGCCAAAUGGACUUCCUAAUCCUGAGUCCACGUGCUGGCUGCACCAGCCGAUCUGGUCAGAGGCAGAAGCAGACCACUGCUGGCCUCCACACACGGUAAGCGUGGAGAGCUUUACUGCUGUGCUUGCCAUGGGUUUGACAGCCAUCUAGAGCAUGUUUUCUCUGCUAUUUCCUAAAAGGAAGAAGAGACAGGAAGGGGCUGGGCUGUGCAUGCUUGGUUUCUUCUCACAGAUUCCUCAAUUAGGUCCUGGUUACUGUGCCCAAUAAGUGAAAGCUUUCCUGGGUCAUCCGCUGAAAUGCUGGCAAGUCCAAAGAGGUGAGGAGCAUAGCUUUGCCAGUGAGACUGUCCCGGAGUUCAACCCCCCACCACUGAGAAGCACCUUGCACUCCCAGAAGCCUUCCCAGGCUCAGUUUUCUCAUCUGUAAAACAAAAAAACGCCCACCCCUACAGGACUUCAGUGAGGAUUAAAAUAUGAUAUAAAGGGCUUGGCCUCUAGUAACACUUUCUAAAUAAUUAGUAUUUUAUAAAAAUGCUCUCGGCUUUAAUUUGGCUUCAGGCUUUUGAUCAGACAAUAAUAUUUAUUAUACACUUAGUAGGUAUGAAAGGCAACAGAAAGAGGUCUGAAGUCUAGGGUGACAGGUAAGACACACACAGAAUAGAAAACUGUGGGAUCAGGGACAAGUGGCUUAUUUCUACCCGACAUCUGGAAGAGGUAGAGAAUUUGAAUAGGGUGUCCAUUUGAGGACAAACAGCGAAGUGACUUCCCUUUUCCUAGCUAUGAAUUUGGGAUAUUCUUCUCUUUUCCUGUUUGGGCUUUUGUGUUCCUCAGAGAGGAGACCUCUGAUUCUGAGAAGUGGGCAAGAGAAGGUCAAAUUACUGCUCACAAAACAAUGACUCAAAACCCUGAGUCUUUUCCGGAUUUACCUACAUUUAAAAACAAAAAAUCCUUUGCCCCCCUCAGGACUGCUGGAGGAACAGGGGCUCCUGUGGCUUUCUGGCAAAGGCAGUCAGGGUGUGAGGAAACCAGAAGGAACCAAAACACAAUGAGAAACCCCGUUCAGCCGACCACGGAAAAGUCCUCUUUGUUGUUUGAAAUUUUUAUCUUGUUUGUGGCAAAUCUAAUGAUUCAGUAACGACCACAGCUGUGUUGGGGCCCACGAAUUUCCUCAGAGGCUUCCCCCCACCCCCACCCCCCACUUGAGAGCAGGAACAAGGCCAGCUGGGUAGGCCACCCUCCUCCAGCUCUCUUCCCAGUCUCUGCAAUGUGUUUGGGACAAGCAGCGCUUGGGGCCGCCCGUCCGGAGAUUUUAUCCGACUUCUCCUGAAUCUAAUUCCGUGGGGGAGGAAGCGAAGUAAAACUGGCUGUUGUAGGCUCAUGGACGAUGCAUUUCUGGGCAUGAGGUUCAGCUCUCUGUAUCCUGCUGUUGAAGUAAGUUUGAGAGAGUCAAAUCGUUUCUCACUGUGGUCCUCGUGGUAAUGACAGAGAGUCACAGAGAAGAUUCCGGUUUCCCAGACCCCGCCGAGGGGGGGGGCAGCUGGCACCUGCCGGCAACCGCCUGCAUGCCUCUGAUUUCCCUGGGUCAGCAUCUCCCUACUGUGUGCGCUGAGCCAAGGAGCAGCAACAAGAAGGAAAGACAAGGCAAGGUGGCCGCCGAGUGGCUCGGGGUUCUGCAUGAUCUCAGCGCGCAGCUGCAGCUGGCGUGGGUGCGGCUCCCGUGGGGAGGCCCUGGGGGCUCGGUCUCACUGGCAUGCUAAUGUCCCUCCCUGCCUCACAUGCCUCAUCUGGGAAAUGAAGGCACGGGGGUGUGUAUGUGCGGGGGUGGGGAGGGUGGGGAGCUGUGCAUUCAUUCAUUCAUUCAUUCAUGGAUCUGUUUGUUUAUUCAUCCAUGUACCUUUUUUUUUUUUUCCCCCACACAUUGAUUCUGUGCUAGGUGCUGGGGAUGCAGAAAUGAGUAUGAUUGGGCUCCUGCCCUCCUGGGAUCACAGUCUUAUGGGCAGGAUAGGUAAAUACACAAAUAAACCCAGAAAAGUCAUCUGCCUGAUAACAGGAGUGUAAGGUGCCCAGCUGUUUAGAAAUGUCGAGAUAGCUCAACAGAAAGGAUGAGUGAAGGAUGCCAAAAGCGUGGAAGAGUAUUCCAGAGGGAAGCCUAGAUCUUGCAAAAGAACUUUGCCAGAGAACGAUAGCAAGGCCGAAAGAUCUUUCAGGGAGGGAAAGGCAGAGAAGGCAGUGGCGACUCUCCAGUUCUCAGUAUCCACCUGAGAUUCCAGUUUAUCGAGUAAAAGGAAUUUUUCCUUCCUCUGAAUUUUGAAAACCAUUCCGGCCCUUCUCAGACUCUCCCAACUGUUUAAAUACCACAGAUGGGGCCGCUGACACUUGUUACCAGGUCAGGCAUGGAGAGAUCUCUUGUUGUAUUUUUCACACAGACCCUUGAUGGAGCCUGAAGACUUUAUGGAGAUGGCUGUGAUUCUUACGUUCUGUGGGGUCAAGGGCUCCUCGGAGAAUGGGAAGAAAGUGAUAAAUCAUCUCCCCAGAAAAUACACAUCAUUUCCAUAAAUUUUCAGGCGUUUCCAGAAUCAUCCCCCCCCUCCCAACCCACUCAUAUGUUCCAGGUAAAGAACUUCCCUCCUAGCCUUGAGCCAUGGAUCAGGGGACUGGCGUGACCCAGUGCAGACGCUGAGUUUUGUGGCUAUCUGACCUGAUGUGGGCAUCCAGCUUGGACAUUCUUGAGAAAGCAACACCCCAAGGCAGACCCUGGGCUGGCAUGCAGUGUAGACAAGUGCACUUUGCUCAGACUUGCAGCCCAGUGGUCUGGGACCUGGCAAAAGCAGGGAGGCAAGUUAGCUGCCCACUCACGAGCAGUGAUCUGCAGAGGUCAGAGAUGGACUGAGGUCGGUGACAGGCAGAGGUCGGUGAUGGGCGGAGUCAGUGAACAGCAAAUGUGUUUUGUCAGGCUCCCCAGCAAUUACACUGAAGUGUGUCCCCGUCUGGGUACUUUCUUUUGACUUGAGUUGGCGAAUUGGGUAGGAGGGAUGGUGGUGAUGCCAAGGCCAUUCUCAGACGGGAUAGAGAAAAGGCAGAUGAGCAAGGAGACCACAGGAGCUGUUGUAGCUCAGGUACCGACAGAGCUUUGAAAGGAAACAGAAUCCUUUGUCAGAGGACCUCAGCAGCCCCAUACUAGGGUGAAGCAAGAGGAGUUUUCCAUGGGUGCACGAUGUCAGGGGGGAGUGCCCAAAACUCAGUAAUUAAGAUAACUGAUAUUUUAAUGCACUUUUAAAAGGUCAAAAUUAACGCAAACAUCCACGAUGAAAAGAAUUUCAAAAAAUAUAUUUUUUAAAUUUUUUAAUGCUUAUUUAGUUUUUAGAGAGAGAGAGACAGAGCAUGAGUGCAGGUGGGGCAGAGAGAGAGAGAGAGAGAGAGAGAGAGAGAGAGACAUACACAGAAUCCGAAGCAGGCUCCAGGCUCUGAGCUGUCAGCACAGAGCCAGACUUGGAGCUUGAACUCACAGACUGUGAGAUCAUGACCUGAGCUGAAGUCAGACACAACCAACUGAGCCACCCAGGCGUCCCAAGGAUUUCAAAAUUUUAAAUGCAGAUGAGAUGCAACCCUUGCAUGGAUGGGAUGCCUCCUACCUCACCUUAAUCCCAGCCCUAGGCUCUGGAACCAAGAAAUGCAUGCCUUUAAAGUCCCAAACUUGUAUUUGAGUAAGACUUUGAGUUUCAUGAAGUUAGUGCCUAGACAGUGGUGAGUUGUUUCUUGUAGUUGUCUAGGAGUGGUUCCCAGACAGCAUGAACGCUGGUCCGUCCCCCUGUACCUGCAGCCCGACAGGGAGCCCACCUUUGCCCAAGGAAUAUUGUUGGCAGUGACCCAAAUAUGCCACCAGGUGGCACUCUUGCUUUGCUCCAUCCAGGUGCCCCUGCAAUGGGGAUUCUUAGCCAAGCUAAAGAGAUUUAAACUAGUUGCUAAACUGUUGCCAGUUGUUUUCUGAAAGGCCAGAAAGAAUCCAGAGCAGGAAUGAGGGUAAGCGGAGAGGCCAUAUGAAGAGGAUUGGAGGGAUCGCCUGGAAAGCCAGGAGCCAGGUACAGCCUGAUUAGUAACAAUAGGCCGGACUGCUUUUCAGCAGGUGAGAAAAACGAGAAUUUUAAACCAUCUUUUGUUCUCCUGUGCAGUAUAAACACACGUGACAUGGGAGAGAAAAGGGGGAUUAAUGGUUUUCUGUGAAGCAAAGCCUGGUGGGAAGAGCUCUGAUGCUGGCUCCACCACCAGCUAGCUGUGAUCUUGGACAGAUAACUGGACUUUGCAAGCCUGAAAUUCUUCAUCUUUAAAUGGGGAUCACUGUAGCCGCCCCCCCCCCCCCGGGGGAUCAUUAGAAGAUCAAAUAAACUGAUGUGCAGGAGGCCUUGGACAUGGUGCCUGGUACCCAGAAAAUGUUCAACAAAAGAGAGGUGCUAUGAUGGACUUUUAGGCAAAGCCUGAACGGCUAGAUUUUGUGCCCCCCUCCCUGCCCCGGCCCCCCCUCCCGCUGGCUGUUAUUGAUUAAGAGAUGACCUCAGAGUGACCCGGAGACAUAACUUGAUAAUGAACCAUGGCUUUAGCAGAGUCAACCAGAAGAAUUUCCCACCUGGAUUGAGUUUCACAGGUGUGAUUUUUGAACCAGGAAAUCAAGCUGGGUUCCCUGGCAAAACUGUCUCACCCUUGGCGACCGGGGAAACGUCUGACCACCGGGUGACUGGCCCCACUUAAGCUGUGCAUUGUUGCAGAAUGCUUCCUGUUUAUUGAGGCUUACUUUGUGUCAGUCACUUCACUAAGCACGUUGCACCCACUGUUUCAUUUAUUCCUUAAUACCACCUGGAGAAGUAACUGAGUCCAUUUUACAGACAAGGAAAUGUAGGUUUAGUGAGACUUAGUACCUUAUCAAGGCUCCUUCUGACAGUAAUUGGUUUAAACUUAGGUCUAUCUGACUUCUAAAUCAAUCAAUCUAUCCUCUGUCUGGCUACCUAUCUACCAUCUGUCUAAUGGCCUCUCAUCUGUCUAUUUGAUGUGUUAAAUACAAACCACUUUGAUCUACUAAUUAAGACAAGUUCCUUCGAAACCUCUAGACUCUAGGGAAGUCUUUUUUGACCUCAGUUCAAGCUUCUUUUUUGAAAAUAUAGAGAUGUAUUCACGGCUGGAGUUGUGCAGCUACAUCAUCCAUAACACAUACACGUGAUCUUCUGAGAAGCAUGUUGUUACUCAGAGGCCCCGUAACCUAGGUUAGGAGCCACUCUUGUGUUGGCCACACUUCCGGGGGUUCUGGGAGAGAGAAUGGUGUGCUGUGUCCUCUCCCUUGGGAGGACAGACAGUGCCACUCUCCGUUCUGUGUCGAGCUCCCUCUGCGGCCACCAACAAACCUAGUUGACCAGCGCGGUCUCACUUUUCAAUGGGAAACUGUUGGGUGAGAGAGGAAGUGUCAGAACAUCAAUAUCAGCCUGACUUGGUUGCGAGAGACGGCCGAGGAGCAAAUCUGCCUUCCCGAAGGAAAAACAUCACCAGCCAUCAGUGGAGGGAAUUUAGCUUUUGGUUCCUAACUGGAGAAGACAGCUACCUGUCAAAUGGCGUGGAGUCGACUGGGGAGCCAGUGUGGCUAUGUUCCCACUUAGCGAUGUUUGGUUUUCUCUCCAGAAAUGUACUUUAUUUCCUCUAAAUUCAUAUUGUAGCUCAUCUCAGAUUAAUAAAGUUUUCUCUAUUAAAGGA
Long non-coding RNA from Neofelis nebulosa (Clouded leopard), 8862 nucleotides. RefSeq lists it as uncharacterized. The transcript has 5 exons. The record is from RefSeq and is a predicted model, not a curated record. Lineage: Eukaryota; Metazoa; Chordata; Mammalia; Carnivora; Felidae.